CCUACGGGAGGCAGCAGUAGGGAAUAUUGCUCAAUGGGGGAAACCCUGAAGCAGCAACGCCGCGUGAGUGAUGAAGGUUUUCGGAUUGUAAAGCUCUGUUGUACGAGAAAAACGAGGUUGUGGCUAAUAUCCACAGCAAGUGAUUGUAUCGUAUAAGAAAGGACCGGCUUAACUUCGUGCCAGCAGCCGCCGUAAGACGGGGGGGUCCUAGCGUUGUUCGGAAUUAUUGGGCGUAAAGCGUGUGCAGGUUGUCUGAAAAGUUAGAUGUGAAAUCCUUGGGCUCACCCAAGACGUGCAUUUAAAACUGUCAGACUUGAGUAUGGAAGAGGGUCGUGGAAUUCCAGGUGUAGUGGUGAAAUACGUAGAUAUCUGGAGGAACCCCGGCGCCGAAGGCGGCGACCUGGUCCAAUACCGACACUCAUACACGAAAGCGUGGGGAUCAAACAGGAUUAGAUACCCUGGUAGUCCACGCCGUAAACGAUGGAUACUUGGUGUGGGAGGUAUUGACCCCUCCGUGCCGAAGCUUAACGCGUUAAGUAUCCCGCCUGGGGAGUACGGUCGCAAGAUUAAAACUCAAAGGAAUUGACGG
This 589-nucleotide ribosomal RNA is filed under the name uncultured bacterium. Its description in RNAcentral is "partial 16S rRNA". It matches the Rfam family "Bacterial small subunit ribosomal RNA", at positions 338 to 916 of the family's 1533-position model. The record is from RNAcentral.